RNAcentral lists this ribosomal RNA (443 nucleotides) under uncultured bacterium. Its description in RNAcentral is "bacterial SSU rRNA". It matches the Rfam family "Bacterial small subunit ribosomal RNA", at positions 30 to 477 of the family's 1533-position model. The record is from RNAcentral.
AUUGAACGCUGGCGGCAUGCUUUACACAUGCAAGUCGAACGGUAACAGGGAGCUUGCUCCGCUGACGAGUGGCGAACGGGUGAGUAAUGCAUCGGAACGUACCCAGUCGUGGGGGGAUAACGUAGCGAAAGUUACGCUAAUACCGCAUACGUCCUGAGGGAGAAAGCGGGGGACCGUAAGGCCUCGCGCGAUUGGAGCGGCCGAUGUCGGAUUAGCUAGUUGGUAGGGUAAAGGCCUACCAAGGCGACGAUCCGUAGCGGGUCUGAGAGGAUGAUCCGCCACACUGGGACUGAGACACGGCCCAGACUCCUACGGGAGGCAGCAGUGGGGAAUUUUGGACAAUGGGCGAAAGCCUGAUCCAGCCAUGCCGCGUGAGUGAAGAAGGCCUCGGUGUAAGACUCUUUCUAGCCGGAAGGAAAUACGCGCGAGGAGUAAUAACUACU